GUCUGGUCUCCUUCACCACCAGUAGGUAAACUCCCUCUGUAGUCUGGUCUCCUUCACCACCAGCAGGUAAACUCCCUCUUUACCUCUGUAGUCUGGUCUCCUUCACCACCAGCAGGUAAACUCCCUCUUUACCUCUGUAGUCUGGUCUCCUUCCCCACCAGCAGGUAAACUCCCUCUUUACCUCUGUAGUCUGGUCUCCUUCACCACCAGCAGGUAAACUCCCUCUUUACCUCUGUAGUCUGGUCUCCUUCACCACCAGCAGGUAAACUCCCUCUUUACCUCUGUAGUCUGGUCUCCUUCCCCACCAGCAGGUAAACUCCCUCUUUAGUCUGGUCUCCUUCACCACCAGCAGGUAAACUCCCUCUGUAGUCUGGUCUCCUUCAC
Molecule: long non-coding RNA, 384 nt
Organism: Oncorhynchus tshawytscha (Chinook salmon)
Lineage: Eukaryota; Metazoa; Chordata; Actinopteri; Salmoniformes; Salmonidae
Source: Ensembl